UAUAUACAGCGCACACCUGUCAUCACCAGUUACAGUCGACUUAUAGAUAUACAGCUAUAACCAAGGGCUAUAUUGUACAAGGACCCAUACUUACCUGUAUCAAUGAUAAAAAGUCCUACAAUUUAUGGAUUGAUUCAAAACAAAUAUCUUUGAAGAAUGACAACAAUGGCACUAGAAGGACAGAGACCAUGGACAUUUGGAGGGAGACCAAAGAAAAAGCCAGCGAAACUGAAAACUCCUCAAAUAAACACAUACUUUAGACAGUUACAGAAAUGCCAAGAACUUUAUGAACGUCUACGACUCGACUCAACCAAUACCAAACAGCUAUUCACUUCACCCUUCCCAAAAAUUCAGAUGCGAGAGAGAACUUUCUUAAGCCUGAACCUUCCGCCAAAGAGAAAAAAGAGCGGGGAACUUCCAACUGAUGUUGAUACUAUUUCUCAGCAGACCACUUCGUCCGAAAACAUACACAGAAUGGACACAGACAGACGCCAUUGUGUUCGAAUGACUCCCGCGAAAUUAUGCGAAUAUCUUCGAUCGAAAGGGUUGGGGCAACCACGUGUUUUUACAUCCUCUUAUGUUAAACGAGAAAAUGAAACAAUUAUCAAACCGCACCCAAGACCAUUUUUUAAUCUUUUAUCAA
Patella vulgata (common limpet) is the source of this 643-nucleotide long non-coding RNA. RefSeq lists it as uncharacterized. The transcript is spliced from 3 exons. Lineage: Eukaryota; Metazoa; Mollusca; Gastropoda; Patellidae. The record is from RefSeq and is a predicted model, not a curated record.